ACAGCCACAUCAUGUUCAAACACCGGUUCCCGUACGGUCACCAAAGUUAAGCAAUGCCGAGCCUGAUCAGUACUUAGAUGGGUGGGAAUACCAGGUGC
Acanthosepion pharaonis is the source of this 98-nucleotide non-coding RNA. The record is from the annotation of a GenBank genome assembly. Lineage: Eukaryota; Metazoa; Mollusca; Cephalopoda; Sepiida; Sepiidae.